Molecule: long non-coding RNA, 189 nt
Organism: Nothoprocta perdicaria
Lineage: Eukaryota; Metazoa; Chordata; Aves; Tinamiformes; Tinamidae
Exons: 2
Source: RefSeq, a predicted model, not a curated record
AUCGGCAGCCCCGGUGCCCGCGGCACCCCGUGCCGGGAUGCGCCGCCGCUGCCCUGGGCUCUCCCCGCAGGGCCGUGGUGCUCAACAGCCGGGGCUGCAAGGGCGAGGAGCUGCUGACCCCCCGCACCUUCUGCGCCAGCAACACCGAGGACCUGGAGACGGCCGUGCAGCACGUGCGGCAGCGCUGCC